Small nuclear RNA from Sciurus carolinensis (gray squirrel), 104 nucleotides. Lineage: Eukaryota; Metazoa; Chordata; Mammalia; Rodentia; Sciuridae. The record is from RefSeq and is a predicted model, not a curated record.
GUGCUCACUUUGGCAGCACCAGUACUAAAAUUGGAACGAUUCAGAGAUUAGCAUGGCCCCUGUGCAAGGAUGACAGGCACAUUUGUGAGAUGUGCCAUAUUUUU